AUUGAACGCUGGCGGCAUGCCUUACACAUGCAAGUCGAACGGUAACAGGUCUUCGGAUGCUGACGAGUGGCGAACGGGUGAGUAAUACAUCGGAACGUGCCUAGUAGUGGGGGAUAACUACUCGAAAGAGUGGCUAAUACCGCAUGAGAUCUACGGAUGAAAGCAGGGGAUCGCAAGACCUUGUGCUACUAGAGCGGCCGAUGGCAGAUUAGGUAGUUGGUGGGAUAAAAGCUUACCAAGCCGACGAUCUGUAGCUGGUCUGAGGGGACGAUCAGCCACACUGGGACUGAGACACGGCACAGACUCCUACGGGAGGCAGCAGUGGGGAAUUUUGGACAAUGGGCGAAAGCCGGAUCCAGCAAUGCCGCGUGCAGGAUGAAGGCCUUCGGGUUGUAAACUGCUUUUGUACGGAACGAAGAGCCGCGGGUUGAUACCCUGGGGUCAUGACGGUACCGUAAGAAUAAGCACCGGCUAACUACGUGCCAGCCGCCGCGGUAA
This 498-nucleotide ribosomal RNA is filed under the name uncultured bacterium. RNAcentral's name for it is "partial 16S ribosomal RNA". It matches the Rfam family "Bacterial small subunit ribosomal RNA", at positions 30 to 523 of the family's 1533-position model. The record is from RNAcentral.